This is a long non-coding RNA of Neofelis nebulosa (Clouded leopard), 1239 nucleotides long. RefSeq lists it as uncharacterized. NCBI's taxonomy places the organism in Eukaryota, Metazoa, Chordata, Mammalia, Carnivora, Felidae. The transcript has 3 exons. The record is from RefSeq and is a predicted model, not a curated record.
UCCGUCACCAGCCACAGGCUCAGGGAUCCCCAGGCCACGUGCAAUUCUGACCCACCGGCCACAAAUCUGGAGGGGGGGUUCAUGACCCCCAUCAGGUUUAGGAAUUUGCUAGGAUAACUCACAGAGCUCAGGGAUCUGGAAGUCAAGGUGAGAAGCUCAUUCAGUGUGGGCUUUACAACACCCUCGGACCAUCCACAGAGCAAAUGCUACUCUCUUCUGCUGUCAUGAAGGAAAGACUUAGUGCAUUGUGACCUGCCGAAAGUCACACAGCCAGCAGACCAGCCCACCCUCAGCCUGGGACUUCUGAUGCUGAGACCAGGGCGUUUCCAGAACACCACGCUGAGACUUCACAAGUAAAAACCCUGACCCAGAAACACCACAGGAUCCUGUAUUUAUCUUUCGCUAUUUACCAAAGUAGACGUUCUAGAGAUCUUUUUUUUUUCCCCAGUGUAAUUUGAAAGUUUGAACCAAAAGGGCUUCUGAGAAGCAUUCAGUUGACAAGAAGCAGACAGCUCCUCCUCCUUCCCGCCCAUUCAUCUGCUCCCUGAGCCCUCUGGACAACGGGAGAAUUUAGUUUGAAUGCCCGUUUCUAACAACUCGGUUUCCCGAGUUUCUGAGCAACCCAGGCACCCACUAUUUGUCAUCAAGAGGGUGACCACGGUGUCUGCCCAGCUUGGUCAUGGACUGCGGCCUUCAGAUGGGAGAAGAUGCUUCCAGACUUUGCCCGGUCAUUCUUCUCCACACCUUAACUCACCUGAAAACAGAUGCAGCGAGAAGCAUCUUUCUCUGCCCGGCCGUCUCCUCACAGAUGUCUCCCGAAACAUUUUUUCACAACACCUUUUUGCCUUUGAAAAGGGAUCAACACACAGUCCCUGUCUGGGGAGCCGUGGUGCAGGGGAGUGUAGCAAGUUAAACCCAGUCUCCACCACUCACCGGGUAAUCUUGGACGCAUUAUUGGUCUCUCCGAGCUGUUUCUAUGACCACAAGACAGAGGAAGAGAAAUGGUGCGUGUCCUCUCAUCCCCAGUCCCCACCACCCCCACCCCUGCUCCCUGCCCCGAGCCAGGCAUUCCAAGCAGAAAGCAGACCCCUUCGGGCACCCAGCUGGGAUCAAUUCGGCAGAGCCACACAGAAUGUGAGAAGCCAAUCAGUUCAAAGCCAGGUUUGCACAACUGUGUCCAUUCUUCCUCCAAGAAAUUUCACACCUUGACACCAAGGAGCCGGUGUUUAAGAAAGAGGA